CCAGUUUUCCCCUAAUGCGAACAUCCGAACAUCUUAUUAACAUGGCACAUUUGUUAAAACUAAAGUCAGUGUUGACACAUUACUCUUAACUCCAGACGUCAUCAGAUUUCCCACUCAAGUUCUUUAUCUGUUCCAGGAUCAAAUCCAGGAUACCACACUGGACUUAGAAAAUCUUCAUUUUUCAUAAGCUCUUUCAGUGGAAGAGAGGCAGGGGAGCUGAGGACCACAUUUUGAGAAAACACUCAGACAUUCAGAGAACCAAACCAAAAUUGCUACCUCCCCAAGUUGGGGAGGUAAGUGCAAUUUUAAGGAAGAUAAUUGAUGGAGCAGGUGUAAAUAAAAGAAAAAGCAAGGAUAACGCUGGAAGAAUUUUGUUUAAAGAGGGUCCUAAGGGUCUUGGGUGAAGCAGCUGGUGAAAGAGAAGGUGGAAAAACACUUGAAGCUCUACCUGUGGAAGAGUCAGUUAUCACACCAAGGAGACACAGGAGCCACCAGCUUGGGCUGACAGGCACAAUAACCAUUUAUUCAAAGAUGCCAUCUAAUGCACUAUGCCACUAAGUACUGUGGCUGGACAGUGAUUUUAAGUGUAACAAAUUAUCUUCACUUUGAAAAGAGCUUAAGAGAGAGAAAACAAAUAUUACAUCUUAAACAGAGGCAUGAAUCAAACCAACUUAUGAACGGUGAAAGCAACUUAUCAAAAUGUCUUCGGACAUAUCAAGACUGACUUAAACCAUGUUCUGUGCCCUUUCUUUGUUGAGAAGAUAAACUGGAAAAUGCAAGCUAUUGUCCUUUGCCAAGGAUCGAAGAUCAAAAUAGUACUUGGCAUAAACACUUCCAGAAACUUCGACGUUAUAGUCAAUUAGCUGCAAAAACUGUCUUUCAAGCUCAUUCCUGUGGGAGGAGAAACACAAGAAAACCAACAUGGGACAAUGUUAGUCCACUGGGCUAUCUUCAAAAACAUUAUUCUGAUGUAAGAAAUGUGAUAAAGCAAUUAUAAGUUCUAGUUCUUUAAGAACACAUGAAAAAGCACACACUAGAGAGAAACCCUAUUAUGUAAUAAAUAUGGGAAAGCCUGGAA
Homo sapiens (human) is the source of this 1078-nucleotide long non-coding RNA. RefSeq lists it as uncharacterized. The transcript has 4 exons. Lineage: Eukaryota; Metazoa; Chordata; Mammalia; Primates; Hominidae. The record is from RefSeq and is a predicted model, not a curated record.